UGGCUCAGAUGGUAAAGAAUCUGCCUGCAAUGCAGGAGACCUGGGUUCAAUUCCUAG
RNAcentral lists this transfer RNA (57 nucleotides) under Capra hircus (goat). It matches the Rfam family "tRNA", at positions 8 to 63 of the family's 71-position model. From Rfam's summary of the family: Transfer RNA (tRNA) molecules are approximately 80 nucleotides in length. Their secondary structure includes four short double-helical elements and three loops (D, anti-codon, and T loops). The record is from Rfam by way of RNAcentral. Lineage: Eukaryota; Metazoa; Chordata; Mammalia; Artiodactyla; Bovidae. RNAcentral also lists the same sequence under 3 other names.